UGGGGAAUAUUGGACAAUGGGCGAAAGCCUGAUCCAGCCAUGCCGCGUGUGUGAAGAAGGCCUUUUGGUUGUAAAGCACUUUAAGUGGGGAGGAAAAGCUUAUGGUUAAUACCCAUAAGCCCUGACGUUACCCACAGAAUAAGCACCGGCUAACUCUGUGCCAGCAGCCGCGGUAAUACAGAGGGUGCAAGCGUUAAUCGGAAUUACUGGGCGUAAAGCGCGCGUAGGUGGUUAUUUAAGUCAGAUGUGAAAGCCCCGGGCUUAACCUGGGAACUGCAUCUGAUACUGGAUAACUAGAGUAGGUGAGAGGGGAGUAGAAUUCCAGGUGUAGCGGUGAAAUGCGUAGAGAUCUGAAGGAAUACCGAUGGCGAAGGCAGCUCCCUGGCAUCAUACUGACACUGAGGUGCGAAAGCGUGGGUAGCAAACAGGAUUAGAUACCCUGGUAGUCCACGCCGUAACGAUGUCUACCAGUCGUUGGGUCUUUUAAAGACUUAGUGACGCAGUUAACGCAAUAAGUAGACCGCCUGGGGAGUACGGCCGCAAGGUUA
RNAcentral lists this ribosomal RNA (548 nucleotides) under uncultured bacterium. Its description in RNAcentral is "bacterial SSU rRNA". It matches the Rfam family "Bacterial small subunit ribosomal RNA", at positions 355 to 896 of the family's 1533-position model. The record is from RNAcentral.